GGGUCCGUAGUCUAGCGGUAGGACGCCGCCCUGACGCGGCGGAGAUCCCGGUUCGACUCCGGGCGGACCCA
Molecule: transfer RNA, 71 nt
Filed under: Nanoarchaeales archaeon
Lineage: Archaea; Nanobdellati; Nanobdellota; Candidatus Nanoarchaeia; Nanoarchaeales
Also listed under: 1 other name
Description: tRNA-Val
Rfam family: tRNA
About the family: Transfer RNA (tRNA) molecules are approximately 80 nucleotides in length. Their secondary structure includes four short double-helical elements and three loops (D, anti-codon, and T loops).
Source: RNAcentral